UGUAGGAGUGAGCCUGCUCGCGAUAGCGGUGUGUCAGUUAGCAAAUCAUUGGCUGACACACCGCUAUCGCGAGCAGGCUCACUCCUACA
Molecule: unclassified non-coding RNA, 89 nt
Filed under: Pseudomonas granadensis
Lineage: Bacteria; Pseudomonadati; Pseudomonadota; Gammaproteobacteria; Pseudomonadales; Pseudomonadaceae
Also listed under: 1 other name
Source: RNAcentral